Molecule: long non-coding RNA, 350 nt
Filed under: Ananas comosus (pineapple)
Lineage: Eukaryota; Viridiplantae; Streptophyta; Magnoliopsida; Poales; Bromeliaceae
Description: long non-coding RNA (ACOM_LNC032586)
Source: RNAcentral
UUUUUCUUUUUUUAAUUUAGGGGGAAAAAAAAAACUUAGAAAGCCUCUACUUUUGCUUACUAUUUCUUUCAAAAGUUAUUUAUUCCUUCUGACAAUUAGUGUUCUCACUAGAGAACGUUCUGCUCACACCGAUUUUGUCUCUUGGGUGUUAGCUCUCCUUUUUUAGAUAUUAGGGGAUCGCAUGAAGUCGAAAAUUGAGGAUACUGAUGUUGUGCUAUAUGGUAAUUAACUAAUUAUUAAUGAAAGGUCCUUACUAAAGAGCAAACAUUAGUAGGAAGAAAAUUGUGGUGAAAAAGCAAAUUUUGUGUAGCUGAUGUUUCUUACUGAUGGUGACAAGUGCAAAGUGCUCG